Pseudomyrmex gracilis is the source of this 2013-nucleotide RNA transcript. It is a transcript of the gene named probable tRNA(His) guanylyltransferase, with no coding region annotated. The transcript is spliced from 5 exons. Lineage: Eukaryota; Metazoa; Arthropoda; Insecta; Hymenoptera; Formicidae. The record is from RefSeq and is a predicted model, not a curated record.
ACAGCAAACUGAUUGGCCACGCCACGUGUCGCGCAAUUCCUCCUUGCAAUUGCUGUGAAGAAUGCAAAUCUCGCUUGUACAGACGCGCUUCGUGAUGCACAUGGCAGGUACGUAUAUGUGGUGAAAUAGAGUAACCGGAAACAAAAAUUUGCCAACAGCUAGAGAUCACGCAUUUUUUUUCACGCGCAACCGCGUGCUGUCAGUUGAUCGCGAAGUAGAUCGCAAAAACUGAUGCUCUUCUGAAGAAACAAUUGGAUGAGAAGCAAUGCGUUUGUAGGAAUUAUCUGCCGGAGCGUGUUAUCGGUCUCGCGGCGAUAUUUCAGUCUGACACCGAUGUCGAAGAGCAAGUUCGAGUACGUGAAGGAGUUCGAGCUGGACAGCAAGUGUCUGCCGAACUGCUGGAUCGUCGUUCGCAUAGACGGCAGAAACUUCUCCAAGUUCUGCGAUACACAUCGGUUCGUCAAACCGAACGAUGUGGCCGCGUUAGACCUGAUGAAUCGCGCGGCGAUCACCGUAAUGGAAGAUUUCAAAGAGAUCGUGCUGGCUUUCGGUCAGAGCGACGAGUACUCUUUUGUCUUCCGGAAAGACACAGAGCUGUACAAACGAAGAAUGCCGAAGCUGUUGACAAAUGUGAAUUCCCUCUUCGCCUCGUCCUAUGUUUUUCACUGGCCAAGAUAUUUUGCGGGUAAGGAGUUGUGUUAUCCACCGUCUUUUGACGCUCGUAUUGCGUUAUAUCCGACGGAUAAAAAUCUGAGAGACUAUCUGUCUUGGCGACAGGCUGAUGUGCAUAUAAAUAACUUGUAUAAUACUUGUUUCUGGAACCUUGUUUUAAAAGGACAUUUAACUCCGAAGCAGGCGGAAGAAAGACUCAGAGGCACAAUGGCUAGUCACAAAAACGAGAUACUCUUCACGCAAUUCAAAAUAAAUUACAACAAUGAACCCGCCAUGUUUCGGAAAGGGACGACGCUCAUUCGAAAAUUAGUCAGUGACAAUACGGGAAAGUUGAAGUCCGCUAUUAUUUUGUUAGUGGAUGACAUUAUCGGCGAUCGUUUUUGGAAAGAGAAUCCCGAAAUAAUCGGUUUAAAAAGUAUGGCCACUUAUCAGCGACCGAAUCAAACGAAUAAUGUUAAUAAUACAGCGCCUUCCUCACCUAGCGCAAUAGGACACACGACGAAUAACGGUUCGUCGUCGCAAGUAAUUAUUGUGAAUUCGAACCAAGUAAAAUAAGUACGUAUUAAACAAAAUUAGGAAAACGGAGAGAGAUCAAUUACAGUGCGAGACUGAAAGCGUUCGUACGAAACAAAUGUAAAUAUAAGCUGUAAAUACAAGCUAUUGUAAAAACAACAAGAUUUGGCGAGCGAACUCGACAAUGAAAAUAAUGACAGCGUUACUAUCGUAAGAAACAAAAACUGAAUUUGAUAAAGUAUAUUAAUAUAUUCACGUUGUUUUUUUUAUUUAAAGUAGUUAAUUCUUUAUAGAUAGAGGAACAUAAGAGGGAGUGUGGGAAGAUGAAUAAGGAAGGUGUAAGGAGUAGAGCGAAAAGAAUAAGCAAGAAAAGUAAGAGGUUAGGUUAGGGUUAGAUUAUGACGUCUAAAGGCAAUGAGAUAGGUAAGUCAAGUAGGUUAGGUCAACGAAGAAUAGGAAAGAAAGAGAGGAGAGAACCAAAGAGCGCGUUAAAAAUUCAGAGUUGCAAACUCUGACCGGCUAGCCUAGCACCUAGCACCGAGAAUACCGAGGUGGUGGGGGCACGCACACCAUAGGUUUGUUUUUUUUUCCUUGAACUGGUUGCAUUAGUUCACAGUCUCCUCAUAGGAGAACUAUAUUCCGAUUCCUCACCCUUCCCGGAUAUACUUUAUCACUCACUGGAUAUGAAACAAAGAUAAAAUGACACUCGAAUGCACUUGAGUGAGGAAUCGGAACACAGCCAUAAGUUCUCGCUUGAGUGCGUGCCUCCACCACUUUGGUGUUCUCGGUGCUAGGCUUCUCGACUUCUUUCAAUUCCUGCUGUUUCUG